Molecule: ribosomal RNA, 772 nt
Filed under: Cataglyphis sp. 130415E
Lineage: Eukaryota; Metazoa; Arthropoda; Insecta; Hymenoptera; Formicidae
Description: LSU rRNA
Rfam family: Eukaryotic large subunit ribosomal RNA (bases 348-772)
Source: RNAcentral
UCAUCGUCAGCGGCGCUGGCUUCGCGUCGGUGGGCGAUGUCCCGCGGAGUCCUCGCGGCUCUCGCGCGGGCACGCUACCGUGCGUCGAUGUCCGGCGCUCGUCGUCGUGCACUUCUCCCCAAGUAGAACGUCGCGACCCGCUGGGUGUCGGUCUACGGCCCGGGUGCGGUGACUGUCGCGUCGCCGGUAAAACGGCACGCGACAAACCCUCGGUUGCCCGGCCGGCUGCUCGGCGGUACGCGCAAGGUAUCAGGCCGCACUUAUUCUCACGGGUGCGUCGAGGCCGUCGCAAGCGCGCGCCACGGUACUCGGAGGUUACGGACUUUGCGCCGUCCCCGGUCCUGGCCCGCUGUUGGUUAAAGUGUACGGAUCACCUUCGACAGGCCUGUCGAACGUUCCUCCCCCGCCCCCCCCCUCGCGGGGACGGUGUGGGUGGGGGGACAUAUACCGGUCGGCGACGCUACUGCUUUGGGUACUCUUAGGACCCGUCUUGAAACACGGACCAAGGAGUCUAACAUGUACGCGAGUCAUUGGGACUUGUCGCGAGACCUAAAGGCGUAAUGAAAGUGAAGAUCGACCCUGGCCGUCGAUCGAGGGAGGAUGGGCCGCGUCGCGAUGCGGCCUCGCACUCCCUGGGCGUCUCGUUCUCAUCGCGAGAAGAGGCGCACCAAGAGCGUACACGUUGGGACCCGAAAGAUGGUGAACUAUGCCUGGUCAGGACGAAGUCAGGGGAAACCCUGAUGGAGGUCCGUAGCGAUUCUGACGUGCAAAU